This 429-nucleotide ribosomal RNA is filed under the name Stanwellia kaituna. RNAcentral's name for it is "partial 16S ribosomal RNA". It matches the Rfam family "Bacterial large subunit ribosomal RNA", at positions 1834 to 2597 of the family's 2925-position model. Lineage: Eukaryota; Metazoa; Arthropoda; Arachnida; Araneae; Nemesiidae. The record is from RNAcentral.
UGAUUGAAUUUAUUAUCAGUAUAACCUGCUCAAUGUUAAUAAAUAGCCGCAGAAAUCUGUGCUAAGGUAGCAUAAUCACUUGCCUUUUAAUUUAAGGCUAGAAUGAAUGGUUUAACAUGUGAAUUAUUUUAUUAAAUAUAUUACUUUAACUUUACUUGUAAGUAAAAAGGCUUACAUUAUUAGAGGGACGAUAAGACCCUACCAAACUUUACCUUACGUUUCACUGGGGUAGUGGAAAAAUUAUAUCUUUAUUUUAUUUUUUUCUAUAAUCUAUUCUAUUAAAUUAUUUUCAAGUUACUGUAGGGAUAACAGCAUAAUAUUCUUUUAAAGCCCUUAUUUUAAAGAAAGUUUAUGACCUCGAUGUUGAAUUAAAAAAUCUUUUAAAGAGCAAAAUCUUAAUAAGAGAGUCUGUUCGACUCUUAAAUUUUU